ACUACGGGAUGCUGCAGUGAGGAAUAUUGGUCAAUGGACGCAAGUCUGAGCCAGCCAUGCCGCGUGCAGGAAGACGGCUCUAUGAGUUGUAAACUGCUUUUGUACGAGGGUAAACGCAGAUACGCGUAUCUGUCUGAAAGUAUCGUACGAAUAAGGAUCGGCUAACUCCGUGCCAGCAGCCGCGGUAAUACGGAGGAUUCAAGCGUUAUCCGGAUUUAUUGGGUUUAAAGGGUGCGUAGGCGGUCGGAUAAGUUAGAGGUGAAAUCCCGAGGCUCAACUUCGGAAUUGCCUCUGAUACGGUUCGGCUAGAGAGUAGUUGCGGUAGGCGGAAUGUAUGGUGUAGCGGUGAAAUGCUUAGAGAUCAUACAGAACACCGAUUGCGAAGGCAGCUUACCAAGCUACUUCUGACGUUGAGGCACGAAAGCGUGGGGAGCAAACAGGAUUAGAUACCCCUGUAGUC
This 460-nucleotide ribosomal RNA is filed under the name uncultured bacterium. Its description in RNAcentral is "partial 16S ribosomal RNA". It matches the Rfam family "Bacterial small subunit ribosomal RNA", at positions 338 to 795 of the family's 1533-position model. The record is from RNAcentral.